GCUUUCGGAAGCCUCUGCAACCUGAAAAGGGUCCGCGACUAUAAAUACCGGAUGCAAGUGGCUUUACCGCUGCAACAUGAUCGAAUUGCGGGGACAUCCUAAAGCCUAGCGGUACCAACUCCCCGGGGAAACCCAGGGAGGGCCUGUGCUAAUCACACAGGAGGUAAGAACCUGCUAGGAUGCCACAAUGGAUAAUCCGCAGCGGAGCCCCUAACGGCGGAAGCCCACGGGGAACGUUCACAGACUAAGUGAUUAUGGGCAACGUUGUCUGCUUAAGAUAUAGUCGGUCUCCUCGGGAAACUGGGGCGGUUAUAGCGUUCCGUAGGUGAACCUGCGGAAGGAUCAUUACAGAGUUCAUGCCUUUCGAGGUAGAUCUCCCACCCUUGUAUAUUAUCAAUAUCUGUUGCUUUGGCGGGCCGCGAGCUUAGCUUGCCCGGGCUCCCCCCCGGCGUGCCCGCCAGAGGACCCCUUAAUUCUGAAUGUUAGUAUCGUCCGAGUAUUAUAAAAUAGUUAAAACUUUCAACAACGGAUCUCUUGGUUCUGGCAUCGAUGAAGAACGCAGCGAAAUGCGAUAAGUAAUGUGAAUUGCAGAAUUCAGUGAAUCAUCGAAUCUUUGAACGCACAUUGCGCCCCUUGGUAUUCCGGGGGGCAUGCCUGUUCGAGCGUCAUUAUGACCCAUCCAGCCCAGCUGGGUGUUGGGCUUCGCCGUCAUGGCGGGCCUUAAAACUAGUGGCGGUGCUCUGAGGCUCUACGCGUAGUAACUUUUCUCGCGAUGGAGUCCUGGGAGGUGCUUGCCAUCAACCCUAAUUUUCUUAGG
Molecule: small RNA, 817 nt
Filed under: Dasyscyphella montana
Lineage: Eukaryota; Fungi; Ascomycota; Leotiomycetes; Helotiales; Lachnaceae
Description: eukaryotic LSU rRNA
Rfam family: 5.8S ribosomal RNA (bases 515-668)
Source: RNAcentral